Molecule: long non-coding RNA, 842 nt
Organism: Mesocricetus auratus (golden hamster)
Lineage: Eukaryota; Metazoa; Chordata; Mammalia; Rodentia; Cricetidae
Exons: 3
Source: RefSeq, a predicted model, not a curated record
GGUGAAAGGCUGAACUGGGGUCCUAGAGCAGGAAACAGUGGGCUCAGGCCCAGGCCCAGGCAUGUGAAGUGAGGGUAGGCAGGCGGCGGCAACAGUAAGAGUCCAAGCUGAGCUGAAGCCCCACAGACUGUCAGGGAGCUCUCUGCUUGCCUAACCCUGACAUAUACACUAGUGUCCGACCGUAGCUUGGUGUGGGCCAUGCCGUCACAGUGUUAGAUGCCGUGGAAUGAUCCUUCUGUACACUGUGUGAAUAUGCGUCACUAUGAUUGGUUUAAUGGACAAGCUGGCCAGCCAAUAGCUGAGCAGGAUAAAGUUAGUCGGGAAAGUCAAACUAAGAAUGAUGCGAUGAGGAAGGGUGGAGUCAGGGGAGUUGCCGGACAAAGCCUGAGUUGGACACACAAAAUGGGAUAGAGUAUUGAUGCAGAACAUGGAUGGCUGACCUAAAACUCACAGCUGUCCACAGCCUCUCCAAUGCUGGGGUUACAGAUGUGAGCCACCAAUCCAUACUGGUUAGUUGGCUCUCGAAUUUAGUCCGCUUUCUUUGAGUCACAGCUGAUUGGCUCCAUCAUUGCUACUCUGUGAGGUAAUAUAGAUGUCCAAGAGUCCAAGACUCUAGCCAGGAGUCACCUGCUGACUCUCCACCGGAUACGGGGUCUGCCGACUUUAACGCCUCUUCAUUAGCCCGGCUCUGGACACGGCGGCUGUAGACACGCUGUGGUGCGCAGUGUCUGUGAUCCAGCAGAGCUUACACUGUGGGAGGUGGUGGUGGACACCAGUCUUCACAAUAGGACAAAGUGAAGUAAGAAACUCCAGCACGGAAUGAAUAAAGGACCCCAACUUGA